UACUCCCUCCGUCCCAUAAUAUUAAAACCUAGGACUGGAUGAGACGUUUCGCAGUACAACGAAUAUGGACAGAUGCAUAUCCAGAUUUAUUGUGCUAUAAAACAUCCCAUCCAGUCCUAGGUUGUAAUAUUAUGGGACGGAGGGAGUA
RNAcentral lists this microRNA precursor (148 nucleotides) under Oryza sativa Indica Group (long-grained rice). RNAcentral's name for it is "osa-MIR1436". The record is from RNAcentral. Lineage: Eukaryota; Viridiplantae; Streptophyta; Magnoliopsida; Poales; Poaceae.